This 229-nucleotide ribosomal RNA is filed under the name uncultured bacterium. RNAcentral's name for it is "partial 16S ribosomal RNA". It matches the Rfam family "Bacterial small subunit ribosomal RNA", at positions 103 to 334 of the family's 1533-position model. The record is from RNAcentral.
CGGGUGAGUAAUACAUCGGAACGUGUCUUCUAGUGGGGGAUAACUGCCCGAAAGGGCAGCUAAUACCGCAUGAGACCUGAGGGGUGAAAGCGGGGGAUCGCAAGACCUCGCGCUGGAAGAGCGGCCGAUGUCCGAUUAGCUAGUUGGUGAGGUAAAGGCUCACCAAGGCGACGAUCGGUAGCUGGUCUGAGAGGACGACCAGCCACACUGGGACUGAGACACGGCCCAG